GUGCCAAGCACCCGCGGUAAUUCCAGCUCCAAUAGCAUAUAUUAAAGUUGUUGCAGUUAAAAAGCUCGUAGUUGGAUUUCUGGACUAUCCUGGCGUCCGUUUUCCGGGCAUCAGGAUGGCUCCAUCCUUCUGUUAACGUGUGUUGGUACUUCGUGCUGGACACGAGCUCAGAUAUUUUACCUUGAGAAAAUUAGAGUGUUUCAGGCAGGCUUGGCCGGAAUAUAAAAGCAUGGAAUAAUAGAAUUGACACGACUCUGUGGUUGGCCAGGGAAGUGUAAUGAUUAAUAGGAACAGUUGGGGGCAUUACUAUUUAAUUGUCAGAGGUGAAAUUCUUGGAUUUGUUAAAGACUAACUGAAGCGAAAGCGUUUGCCAAGGAUGUUUUCAUUAAUCAGGAACGAAAGUUAGGGGAUCAAAGACGAUCAGAUACCGUCGUACUCUUAACCAUAAACGAUGCCGACUAGAGAUUGGAGGAGAUAAUCGAGCUCCUUCAGCAUCUAAGGAGAAAUCACAGUCUUUGGGUUCUGGGGGGAGUAUGGUCGCAAGGCUGAAACUUGAAGGAAUUGACGGAAGGGCACCACCAGGAGUGGAGCCUGCGGCUUAAUCUGACUCAACUCGGAGAAACUCACCAGUCCAGACAUUGUUAGGAUUGACAGGAUUGAUAAGCUCUGUCCUUGAUUCUAUGGGUGGGGGGGGAGG
RNAcentral lists this ribosomal RNA (697 nucleotides) under uncultured eukaryote. RNAcentral's name for it is "SSU rRNA". It matches the Rfam family "Eukaryotic small subunit ribosomal RNA", at positions 564 to 1286 of the family's 1831-position model. The record is from RNAcentral.